This 492-nucleotide ribosomal RNA is filed under the name uncultured bacterium. RNAcentral's name for it is "partial 16S ribosomal RNA". It matches the Rfam family "Bacterial small subunit ribosomal RNA", at positions 29 to 507 of the family's 1533-position model. The record is from RNAcentral.
AGUGAACGCUGGCGGUAGGCCUAACACAUGCAAGUCGAACGGCAGCACAGUAAGAGCUUGCUCUUACGGGUGGCGAGUGGCGGACGGGUGAGGAAUACAUCGGAAUCUACUUUUUCGUGGGGGAUAAAGUAGGGAAACUUACGCUAAUACCGCAUACGACCUACGGGUGAAAGUAGGGGAUCUUCGGACCUUGCGCGAUUGAAUGAGCCGAUGUCGGAUUAGCUAGUUGGCGGGGUAAAGGCCCACCAAGGCGACGAUCCGUAGCUGGUCUGAGAGGAUGAUCAGCCACACUGGAACUGAGACACGGUCCAGACUCCUACGGGAGGCAGCAGUGGGGAAUAUUGGACAAUGGGCGCAAGCCUGAUCCAGCCAUACCGCGUGGGUGAAGAAGGCCUUCGGGUUGUAAAGCCCUUUUGUUGGGAAAGAAAAGCAGCAGGUUAAUACCCCGCUGUUCUGACGGUACCCAAAGAAUAAGCACCGGCUAACUUCGUG